Oncorhynchus nerka (sockeye salmon) is the source of this 3130-nucleotide RNA transcript. It is a transcript of the gene named cysteine and histidine-rich domain-containing protein 1, with no coding region annotated. The transcript has 13 exons. Lineage: Eukaryota; Metazoa; Chordata; Actinopteri; Salmoniformes; Salmonidae. The record is from RefSeq and is a predicted model, not a curated record.
AAAGUUCCCGAACUCCACCGGCAUUUCCCGGAACUGUGUGCGACAAAUGUACAGGAGGAAACACAUGGCCAGGCACGCUUAUCAACUGCAUAAUAUAGAUCAAAAAUAUUGUAUUAAACAUCUGGCUGCUUUACAUCCUAAUUGAAUAUAGUAUAUUUUAAUAGCCCGACGAGUUAUCUCAGUUCGUUCAUCAUGACGUUGAUGUGCUACAACAAAGGUUGCGGACAACGAUUUGACCCAGACGACAACGCUGGUGAUACCUGCACCUUUCACCCUGGCGUGCCUGUUUUUCACGAUGCUCUUAAGGGCUGGUCCUGCUGCACGAGACGCACCACUGACUUCUCAGACUUCCUCAGCAUAGAGGGCUGCAGCAGAGGUAUCCAUAACAGAGAGAAGCCAGUGGAGCCGAUCCUGCCGGAGGUGACGAGCUCAGAGGGGAGGAGAGAGAAGGGGGAGGAGCUAAAGCCUCGUGGUGACCCCUAUAUCAUUCAGGCUCCUAAACCACUAGAGCUGAUACACAGACCCAGUGGUGAUGAGCCCCUGGUCAGACUUCAGCAGAAGGUGUUCUCCUCUCUGAGACAGGCUCUGGAGAAAGUCCAGCUGGCAGAGAGCAGGCAGCCUCACAACACAGAGGAAGAGGAGGAGGAGGUGAAGAUUGGCACGUCCUGUAAGAAUGGAGGCUGCUCCAAGUCUUUCUCUGGUCCAGGGAGUAACGAGGAGAAGUGUAAACACCACCCUGGAGUCCCUAACUUCCACGAGGGGAUGAAGUUCUGGAGCUGCUGUAGGAGGAAGUCUUCUGACUUUAACUGUUUCCUGGCCCAGGAGGGCUGUACCACAGGAAGUCACCUCUGGAGGAAACCAGACAAGGGGAUGAAGGUGGUACCAUGUAGGUUUGAUUGGCACCAGACAGGCGGCCAGGUCAUCAUCUCGAUCUAUGCCAAGAACUCUCUACCAGAGCUCAGCUAUGCAGAGGCCAACGGCACCACGGUGAUCAUCCGUGUGGUCUUUGAGGGAGAGAAGGAGUUUGAGCAGAAGAUCAACUUAUGGGGGGUGAUCGAUGUGACUAGCAGUGUGGUGAACAUGAUGUCUUUCAAGAUGGAGAUCUCUAUGGGGAAGGGGGAGCCAAUCACCUGGGCCCGUCUGGACCUGCCCUCUCCCACAGACACGCCCACUGAGGGGGGGAAUGGGAUUGGAAAGGCGUAGAACUAGACAGAAGGAAAUCAAUCACAUGUGUUUCUGUCCCAGCAGAGCGAUGUUGUGGGAGCACUUUGUCAGCGACCCAGCAUAUUGACUAGCAUCCAGGCUGAGGAGCUGGGAAUCAGCCAAUAGGAAGGUUCCCCAUCCGCCCCCAGAACAAUGUCUCUCCCACCCUGUUCUUGGUGUGUCUGGCCCUGCCUGCUGCGAUGCCGAGUCGGGAUUAAAUACACCUCAAAGUCCCAGCCUGAACCCAGUUAUCUGGUCCUACAGAGGGAGACAUACGUCGCUCUGGACAAAAGUGUCUGCUAAAUAACUAAAAUGUAAAUAAAAUCAAUCAUUCAGUCAAUAAAAGUGCAUAUGUGAUCAGAGUGAUCAUAAGUAUAUGGUGGUUGGUGAUGGGUCUGACUUGGAUGUAUCGCAGUCAUCUGUCCAGUUGUUCUGCUUGUGCCAACUCUCCUACAGAGACACCUCUCCCUCCUCUGGACUGGACACAGAGAGAGAUGGAGAGCGGAACAAACUAAUGUUUUCUGUACUUGGCAUGCAUCUGCAGGUGUGAGGUCGUCUAUUGUCGUUAGAGACUUGCUAUGACCCCUCUGAGCCUGUAGGUGGCAGCAAUACCCAUUGUGAUGUCCAGUGUGACCAUAGCUCCAUUCAAUCUAUUUAGACAAAGUGUAUUGGUGUUAGUCUGGCACUACAUUGGUCUGUACCCUGUGAAAGUAACCACAUCUUCUCUUUUACCUCUAAUCUUUUAAAUGGACUUCACGAUUAUAUCAUGAAAUUCGUGAAAACAUGGUGAUAUAUAAAAUUACAUUUGUGUUUGAAUUUACUUCUGCCAGAUGCCUUUUAUUGUGUUUCAGUGCUGAAAACCAUUGCGUUACGUUUUUCCCAUUUGAAUACCAUUGAAAAAGUCUAGAAAAGUCCCUGGAAAACAAGGCGUCACACAGUGUAAUCCUGAAAUGGACAGUUGAUAGACAGUUGAUUCAAAUUGACCUGUUUGGUGAUGUCAUACAUCAAGGGGUGGAGAGAGGGGGUGCAGUUUAUCCUCAAUGUGUACAUACCUGCAGCGCACACACACACAUCAUUUUCCAGCAGUCCAAAGUCCUGUGUCACAACUGGCAAAUACAAUGGUCCAAAUACACAAACAGACAGAAAGUACUUCACUUGUUUUUUCUGCCAGAGAAAACACAUUCUGGGCCAAAUGCAUUGAACCUCUAAAAUACAGUAUACACCACGUCUCAAUGACAAACAUAAUAUGAGGAAACAGGAUUGAUAGAACAUUCUGGAACUCCUCCAGACUGCUACAAUAUGGGAAAAGUCAUCCGUAGAGUUUUGCAUGCAAAUUAGUAUCUACGGUUUUCUGUUUUUAUGAUGCAGCUAUAGUCAUAAAGACUCAUCUCAGUACAUAGUGGUGUGUGUUAAUCUGAUCUCCCCACACACACACACCUUUGCUGAGCAGUUUCUCAACGCUCCUCACACUCUCGUGCACCCCGUUACCGGGUCGACCCCCCAAACACCCAAGCAUUCCGGUGGCCCCCCGAGGAUCACAUAGCGAUCUGCCAACAACAGAGAGAGGGGGGAGAGGGGUCACAAAUCACCAUCUGCUGUCCUCACUCUUAUGGAUGAAGUGUUGUGCUAUUUCAAAUGAAACAGUGAUGAUAGAUGUGUUGAGUUAUAUAUAUAUAUAGAGAGAGAGUAAGUGUUUAGAAAUGCAUGUGUGUACCUGUAUGUGUAUUCUGGAGGAGAGAAUGUUAUAGUCCCCCUUUAUCACAGAAACGUCCAUCUUUAUAAGAACACACACCAUUAGCAGGGUCUCCCAUGUACAGUAUCUGAAGUCCUGGAACUUGUUCAGUUCAUGUCUCAGCUUGUUGAAUCUUAUGUCCAUACAAAUAUUUGCACAUGUUAAGUUGUUUAAAAUAAAUGCAGUUGACAGUGA